Brienomyrus brachyistius is the source of this 652-nucleotide long non-coding RNA. RefSeq lists it as uncharacterized. The transcript is spliced from 3 exons. NCBI's taxonomy places the organism in Eukaryota, Metazoa, Chordata, Actinopteri, Osteoglossiformes, Mormyridae. The record is from RefSeq and is a predicted model, not a curated record.
GCAGAUAAUUACCUGUGACACCCAUGGUGCACUGUGAGCAGGUAUACAGGCCAACAGAGCAUGCAGAUAAUUACCUGUGACACCCAUUGUACACUGUGAGCAGGUAUACAGCCCAACAGAGCCUGCAGAUAAUUAUCUGUGACACCCAUUGUACACUGUGAGCAGGUAUACAGGCCCACAGAGCAUGCAGAUAAUUAUCUGUGACACCCUUUGAACACUGUGAGCAGGUAUACAGGCCAACAGAGCCUGCAGAUAAUUACCUGUGACACCCUUUGAACACUGUGAGCAGGUAUACAGGCCAACAGAGCCUGCAGAUAAUUACCUGUGACACCCAUUGUACACUGUGAGCAGGUAUACAGGCCCACAGAGCAUGCAGAUAAUUAUCUGUGACACCCUUUGAACACUGUGAGCAGGUAUACAGGCCCACAGAGCAUGCAGAUAAUUAUCUGUGACACCCUUUGAACACUGUGAGCAGGUAUACAGGCCCACAGAGCAUGCAGAUAAUUAUCUGUGACACCCUUUGAACACUGUGAGCAGGUAUACAGGCCAACAGAGCCUGCAGAUAAUUAUCUGUGACACCCUUUGAACACUGUGAGCAGGUAUACAGGCCAACAGAGCAUGCAGAUAAUUAUCUGUGACACCCAUUGUACAC